This 253-nucleotide ribosomal RNA is filed under the name uncultured bacterium. Its description in RNAcentral is "partial 16S ribosomal RNA". It matches the Rfam family "Bacterial small subunit ribosomal RNA", at positions 524 to 776 of the family's 1533-position model. The record is from RNAcentral.
UACGUAGGGUGCGAGCGUUGUCCGGAAUUAUUGGGCGUAAAGAGCUUGUAGGCGGUUUGUCGCGUCUGCUGUGAAAAUCCGGGGCUCAACCCCGGACUUGCAGUGGGUACGGGCAGACUAGAGUGUGUUAGGGGAGACUGGAAUUCCUGGUGUAGCGGUGAAAUGCGCAGAUAUCAGGAGGAACACCGAUGGCGAAGGCAGGUCUCUGGGCCACUACUGACGCUGAGAAGCGAAAGCAUGGGGAGCGAACAGG